AGUUUGAUCCUGGCUCAGAUUGAACGCUGGCGGCAUGCCUUACACAUGCAAGUCGAACGGCAGCACGGGAGCUUGCUCCUGGUGGCGAGUGGCGAACGGGUGAGUAAUGCAUCGGAACGUAUCCUGGAGUGGGGGAUAACGUAGCGAAAGUUACGCUAAUACCGCUUAUUCUGUGAGCAGGAAAGCGGGGGACCUUCGGGCCUCGCGCUCUUGGAGCGGCCGAUGUCGGAUUAGCUAGUUGGUGAGGUAAAGGCUCACCAAGGCGACGAUCCGUAGCAGGUCUGAGAGGAUGAUCUGCCACACUGGAACUGAGACACGGUCCAGACUCCUACGGAGGCAGCAGUGGGGAAUUUUGGACAAUGGGGGCAACCCUGAUCCAGCCAUGCCGCGUGAGUGAAGAAGGCC
This 405-nucleotide ribosomal RNA is filed under the name bacterium enrichment culture clone ALO1_GLFRUDD03FXRT7. RNAcentral describes it as "bacterial SSU rRNA". It matches the Rfam family "Bacterial small subunit ribosomal RNA", at positions 10 to 416 of the family's 1533-position model. The record is from RNAcentral.